UCCGCGCGGGUGGGCUUGGAGCAGGCCGCACCGGGCGGGAACCCCACUCCCACCCCGGAGGCCCCCUGCCCUUUCUCCCCUUUUCCCCCCGGCCCAUGGUGCGAGGCUGGGAGCUGCCUCCCCGGCGGGACUGCGCUAUCUCUGAAGGGCACAAAUCAGAAAGCACCAUGCCUCCUAAUAAAGAGGCCAGCAGUCUUAAUAGCUCCCCGGCGGGGUUCAUCUGCCUCCCUCCAAUCUCCGAGGAGCUACAGCUUGUGUGGACCCAAGCAGCCCAGACCAGUGAGCUGGGUGGCAAUGAACACUUGCUACAAACCUUCAGCUACUUUCCCUAUCCCAGUCUAGCAGACAUUGCCCUUCUCUGCUUACGCUAUGGGCUGCAGAUGGAGAAAGUCAAGACUUGGUUCAUGGCCCAGCGCCUCCGCUGUGGCAUUAGCUGGUCAUCUGAAGAAAUAGAAGAGACUCGAGCCCGAGUGGUCUACCAUCGGGACCAGCUCCAUUUCAAAUCCCUUCUCUCUUUUACUCAUCAUGCAGGGCGGCCCCCAGAGGAGGUGCCUCCUUCUCCGAUGCCACCUCCAGAACAAGUGGGUCUUGGAAUAGUGCCCCUGACUCUUAGUGAGCCCACCCAGAUGAAAGGAUUGAAGGUGGAGCCUGAGGAGUCCUCAGAGCUGCUGAGUCACCAGAAAGCAAAGGAACCCCUGAUGGCACCUGGCAGUGGGACAUUCCCCCACCAAUCCGAUUAUUGGCAGAAUCUUCAAAGCAGUGGCUUCUCUAAGGAGCAGGCAGGCAGGGGUCCCAACCAGUCACAUGGCCUAGGUUCUGCUUCAUGGAAUCACUCCACAGCUGUCCACCAGCCACAUGCUCGGGAUAAGCCCCCACCAGUCUCACUACUUGCUAGUAGUUGUAAGCAGGAGUCAGCAUCUAAUAUGACUCCUCCUUCUUCCUCUACCUCUUCUUCCACUUUCCCGGUACUGGCUAACGGAGCUACUGCCACCUCUAAACCCCUCCAGUCACUGGGCUGUAUCUCACAGCCGCUGUCACCCAAUGAACAGGCACUGCCCCCACAUCUGGAGCCAGCCUGGCCCCAAGGGCUAAGACAUAACUCAGUAUCAGGUAGGGUUGGCCCUGCAGAGUACCUUUCCCCAGAUAUGCAACGCCAGCGAAAGACCAAGCGCAAAACCAAAGAGCAGCUGGCUAUCCUCAAAUCUUUUUUUUUACAGUGCCAAUGGGCACGGCGUGAGGAUUACCAUAAAUUAGAACAGAUCACUGGCUUACCUCGACCUGAGAUCAUUCAGUGGUUUGGUGACACACGCUAUGCCUUGAAGCAUGGGCAACUAAAAUGGUUUCGGGACAAUGCAGUACCUGGUGCCCCUAGUUUCCAGGACCCAGCAAUUCCCACACCCCCACCUUCAACCCGCUCCUUGAGUGAAUGGGCUGAGACACCACCUCUGCCGAACCCCCCACCCCCACCGGAUAUACGACCCUUGGAGAGGUACUGGGCAGCCCAUCAACAGCUACAGGAAAGUGAUAUCCCUCAACUGAGUCAGGCAUCAAGGCUUAGCACCCAGCAGGUACUGGAUUGGUUUGACUCUCGAUUACCUGCGCCAGCUGAGGUGGUGGUUUGUCUAGAUGAAGAGGAGGAAGAGGAGGAGGAAGAACUGCCAGAAGAUGACGAGGAUGAAGAGGAGGAGGAGGAGGAGGAAGACGAGGAUGACGAUGAUGAUGUGAUCAUACAGGACUGAGUCGGGGGGACUAGGGGAGGGAAGGUCUGGUACUAAAAGAUGAACCAACUUAGUAACUGUGUAAACAAAGAAACCACAUUUUUUUUAAAUUACCUUGUGGCAAAGAA
Leptonychotes weddellii (Weddell seal) is the source of this 1846-nucleotide non-coding RNA. Lineage: Eukaryota; Metazoa; Chordata; Mammalia; Carnivora; Phocidae. The record is from RefSeq and is a predicted model, not a curated record.